AUUGAACGCUGGCGGCAGGCCUAACACAUGCAAGUCGCACGAGUGGCGGACGGGUGAGUAAUGUCUGGGACAGUGCCUUAGGGAGGGGGAUAACUACUGGAAGCGGUAUCUACUACCGCAUACCAUCAUAAUUGCCCAUAUGGGAUUAGCUAGUAGGUGGGGUAAAGGCUCACCUAGGCGACGAUCCCUAGCUGGUCUGAGAGGAGGACCAGCCACACUGGAACUGAGACACGGUCCAGACUCCUACGGGAGGCAGCAGUGGGGAAUAUUGCACAAUGGGCGCAAGCCUGAUGCAGCCAUGCCGCGUGUAUGAAGAAGGCCUUCGGGUUGUAAAGUACUUUCAGCGGGGAGGCGUUACCCGCAGAAGAAGCACCGGCUAACUCCGUGCCAGCAGCCGCGGUAAUAC
RNAcentral lists this ribosomal RNA (406 nucleotides) under uncultured bacterium. RNAcentral describes it as "partial 16S ribosomal RNA". It matches the Rfam family "Bacterial small subunit ribosomal RNA", at positions 30 to 526 of the family's 1533-position model. The record is from RNAcentral.